Molecule: ribosomal RNA, 253 nt
Filed under: uncultured bacterium
Lineage: Bacteria
Description: partial 16S ribosomal RNA
Rfam family: Bacterial small subunit ribosomal RNA
Source: RNAcentral
UACGGAGGAUGCAAGCGUUAUCCGGAAUGAUUGGGCGUAAAGCGUCCGCAGGUGGCAAUGUAAGUCUGCUGUCAAAGCGUCUGGCUCAACCAGAUACAGGCAGUGGAAACUACACAGCUAGAGUGCGUUCGGGGCAGAGGGAAUUCCUGGUGUAGCGGUGAAAUGCGUAGAGAUCAGGAAGAACACCGGUGGCGAAGGCGCUCUGCUAGGCCGCAACUGACACUGAGGGACGAAAGCUAGGGGAGCGAAUGGG